This 115-nucleotide small nuclear RNA is filed under the name Salmo salar (Atlantic salmon). RNAcentral's name for it is "U5 spliceosomal RNA (ENSSSAG00000095703.1, ENSSSAG00070021675.1)". It matches the Rfam family "U5 spliceosomal RNA". From Rfam's summary of the family: U5 RNA is a component of both types of known spliceosome. The precise function of this molecule is unknown, though it is known that the 5' loop is required for splice site selection and p220 binding, and that both the 3' stem-loop and the Sm site are important for Sm protein binding and cap methylation. Lineage: Eukaryota; Metazoa; Chordata; Actinopteri; Salmoniformes; Salmonidae. The record is from Rfam by way of RNAcentral.
ACAUUCUGGUUUCUCUUCAGACUGCAUAAAUCGUUCGCCUUUUACUAAAGAUUUCUGUGUAGAGGAACAUUAUGAGUAUCAAUUAAUUGUUUGAUGCCAUGCUUUAUGGGGGGCU